GAUGGGGAGCGAAAUUUAGUAGCGAAGUAGCUGAUUUCACACUGUCAAGAAAAGUCUCUAUCGAGGUUAAAGGUACCCGUACCGCAAACCGACACAGGUGGGUGAGGAGAGUAUCCUAAGGCCAGCGAGAGAACUGUUGUUAAGGAACUCGGCAAAAUGACCCCGUAACUUAGGUAUAAGGGGGGCCACCAUCAGUGGACCGAAGAGUAUAGGCCCAAGCGACUGUUGACCAAAAACAUAGGUUUCGGCUAAGUCGCAAGACGAUGGAUAGGAGCUGACGCCUGCCCGGGGCUGGAAGGUUAAGGGGAUCUGUGAGAGCAAGCGAAGCAGUGAACGUAAGCCCAAGUAAACGGCGGCCGUAACUAUAACGGUCCUAAGGUAGCGAAAUUCCUUGUCGGGUAAGUUCCGACCCGCACGAAAGGCGUAACGAUUUGGGCACUGUCUCAACAACAGAC
This 455-nucleotide ribosomal RNA is filed under the name Clostridioides difficile. Its description in RNAcentral is "bacterial LSU rRNA". It matches the Rfam family "Bacterial large subunit ribosomal RNA", at positions 1565 to 2032 of the family's 2925-position model. The record is from RNAcentral. Lineage: Bacteria; Bacillati; Bacillota; Clostridia; Peptostreptococcales; Peptostreptococcaceae.